This 664-nucleotide ribosomal RNA is filed under the name Pseudomonas sp. Its description in RNAcentral is "bacterial SSU rRNA". It matches the Rfam family "Bacterial small subunit ribosomal RNA", at positions 28 to 688 of the family's 1533-position model. The record is from RNAcentral. Lineage: Bacteria; Pseudomonadati; Pseudomonadota; Gammaproteobacteria; Pseudomonadales; Pseudomonadaceae.
ACUUGCCGCUGUCGGCAGGCCUAACACAUGCAGUCGUGCGGAUGAGUGGAGCUUGCUCCAUGAUUCAGCGGCGGACGGGUGAGUAAUGCCUAGGAAUCUGCCUGGUAGUGGGGGACAACGUUUCGAAAGGAACGCUAAUACCGCAUACGUCCUACGGGAGAAAGUGGGGGAUCUUCGGACCUCACGCUAUCAGAUGAGCCUAGGUCGGAUUAGCUAGUUGGUGAGGUAAAGGCUCACCAAGGCGACGAUCCGUAACUGGUCUGAGAGGAUGAUCAGUCACACUGGAACUGAGACACGGUCCAGACUCCUACGGGAGGCAGCAGUGGGGAAUAUUGGACAAUGGGCGAGAGCCUGAUCCAGCCAUGCCGCGUGUGUGAAGAAGGUCUUCGGAUUGUAAAGCACUUUAAGUUGGGAGGAAGGGCAGUAAGUUACUACCUUGGUGUUUUGAGGUUACCAACAGAAUAGGCACCGGCUAACUUCGUGGCCGCAGCCGCGGUAAUACGAACGGUGCAGCCCGUUAUCGGAAUUACGGGGCGUAAAGCGCGCGUCGUGGCUCGCUGACUUGCAUGUGAGGGCCCCGGGCUCGGGCUGGGGACUGGGUGCACGACUGGUGAGCUAGAGUAUUGCGCAGGGUGGUGUAAAUUUCCUGUGUUCCGGGGGAAUG